RNAcentral lists this transfer RNA (72 nucleotides) under Caldifarciminota bacterium RBG_13_43_14. Its description in RNAcentral is "tRNA-Asn". It matches the Rfam family "tRNA". From Rfam's summary of the family: Transfer RNA (tRNA) molecules are approximately 80 nucleotides in length. Their secondary structure includes four short double-helical elements and three loops (D, anti-codon, and T loops). The record is from RNAcentral. Lineage: Bacteria; Pseudomonadati; Caldifarciminota.
UCCUCGGUAGCUCAACGGUAGAGCAUCCGGCUGUUAACCGGAGGGUUGCAGGUUCAAAUCCUGCCCGAGGAG